Long non-coding RNA from Canis lupus familiaris (dog), 879 nucleotides. RefSeq lists it as uncharacterized. The transcript has 5 exons. NCBI's taxonomy places the organism in Eukaryota, Metazoa, Chordata, Mammalia, Carnivora, Canidae. The record is from RefSeq and is a predicted model, not a curated record.
CAGGCUGGUGCCACUGUGGAGCUUGGGCCCCCUAACCCGGGGCCCAUGGGGACCAGACCACGCCUUACCUAGAGCAGAUGGAGAGCUGGGGAUGCAUUCAGCUGGAGAACAGACCUCGUCCCCUCUGUGGAUGACUCCUCGCACGGUAAUCUCAUAACCAUGCUUCUUGAGGAACUGUGUCAUGAAUGACAGGCCAGAGGAGGUGACCCACAGAAGCAGACAUGGGAUGACGGGGGGCCAUGUCAGCUUCUCUGCAACUUCUACCUCUCCUCCCUGGAUUCCCACACAUAACAGAGGACCGAGAAAGAGGAAGGACGAUAGCAAACAGCAAAGCCCAGUAGUAGUAACGAUAAACAAUUUGGGCUUUGCAUGUCCUCUAGCCUCUAUUGGAGCUGCUCAGUGCUGCUGCUGCGGCGUGAAGGCCGCCAUGGACAACACGCACCUGGACACACCUGACGCACGUGAACGGCACCUGGACGCACCUGGAUGUGUGACUGCUUCCUGUACCACCUGGCGUGUGUGGACUUGCUGUGGGAGGGAUGCGACUCUCAGGCCUCAGCGGUCCGACCCGGGCCCGGCAGCAGGUGUCGUCCCCAUAGAGAAUGAGCCCGGACUCCCUAGUUACCUUGUGGAACGCCACCUUCCCAACACCUGCAGGCCACCUUCUUAGAAAACCCUUGAUCACCAGAACUUUCCAAGAGUGAGAAAAUGAGCCGCCUUCUUCUGCAUUCUUCCUGCAUCAGCCGACACCGUCCCAUAUGCUCCCCCCUCUGAAACCCCCGUGUUUUUCAAUGAUAUCAUGCACAGUAACAUUAUUAUAAUUAGGACUGAAGAAUAAAAAACAUGGUUCCAACUUUAAUUAAAUUUGAAUUAAAUGAG